AAUUGCUAACAUGAAUAUUCGAGUUCUUGUCUUUUAUCCUAAGUUACUCAAACAACUCUUCGUUUUUAUUGAGGCACACAUGUCUGACUGAUAUCUGGACAUGGGUAUGGCUAUAUGACCCUCGAAGGUCCCUCAAAUAUAUGGUUUUUCUCUUUGACGGAAGGUUCCUCAAGCUGAUGUGAAGAAUUUUUUGAGUCCGCGUGCGGUGAGGUCACUCGCUUGAGGAUUUUAGGGGACAAUGUGCAUUCAACUCGUAUCACUGCAAAUCUAGACGCUUUAAGUUAGGUGAUAUGCUUGACUAAAAUCAAGUGGCUCGAUUUUAGCAAGUGUUUUGUGUGAGAUUAUUGUGAAAGCCGGCCUGAUUUACAUGCGGAAAGUGCCAUUGUUGCAUUGAGUUGUAGUGGAUUGGUGCUAGGAACUCAGCCGAUCAGGGUAAGUCCUUCAAAAACACCAGUGAGGCCACGAGUUACCCGACCAACGUCGGGUUAACCAAUCGACCUAGCCAUUUAAAACAUAUGGAUGGAAUUGGGUGACUUCCCGAUCGCAACUCUGUUGUGUCGAAAGGAUGGUAAAAACUUUCAUCGGUUUCUUUCUUUCCAUCUUUCCGGACGCAACCAUUUCGUUUUGUUUUUCUUUUAUCUUUGCUCAAAGAUGUCGUCACCAUGUUUCGGAUUCAGAAACCUCGAGAACUUUUAACCUUAUUUCAUCCCUUUGUUUU
Hibiscus syriacus is the source of this 718-nucleotide long non-coding RNA. RefSeq lists it as uncharacterized. Lineage: Eukaryota; Viridiplantae; Streptophyta; Magnoliopsida; Malvales; Malvaceae. The record is from RefSeq and is a predicted model, not a curated record. The transcript has 5 exons.